Molecule: ribosomal RNA, 1473 nt
Filed under: Triticum aestivum (bread wheat)
Lineage: Eukaryota; Viridiplantae; Streptophyta; Magnoliopsida; Poales; Poaceae
Description: partial small subunit ribosomal RNA
Source: RNAcentral
AUGUGUAUUGGAAACUUAAAAUACUUGACAAUAAAUAUAUCACGGGACUGUCACCAUCUACAGUCCAGGGUUAUUUGCAAGCUCAGAACAAUGUCAAGUACUAUGCAUAACCAGAUUGGCGAAGUGUUUAGGUUUGGUAACCUUGGAGACAUUUGGUGUCAUACACAUUCCCUAAUGACGCUCCGAGAUGCUGCUCGUGCUGCCUGUUUGUCUCAUGCCUUUCUACGUUCCUGGAGAUGCCAUCCCAAUCUCAUAUUUGAUCAUGGAAUACUAUGCCAGUUGAGACACGACCUCGCCAGCACAGUGAAUCACAUUUUUGAAAAUCGCUCGGGCAUUGGUGUGAAAACACUCAAACUAGAUUUCUCCUGUUACCACGAGCCCAAGGCCUAUUCAUAUCUCCAUAGGUGGCUUCGGAUAGCUGUUACACCAGGCACUGAAAAACUUGUCGUUCUGUCUGCGAGUGAUGUAGCAUUCAACUUCCCAUGCUCAAUCCUAUCUGAUGGGAACGGAAGCACGAUCCAGCAUCUUCACCUUGUUGACUGUGGCUUCCAUCCUACAGUCAGUGUUGUUUGCAUGAGGAGCCUGACAGUGCUGCAUCUCGAUCAUGUGGGAAUUACGGGGGACGAGUUAGGGUGCCUUUUUUCCGGCUGUGUUGCUUUGGAGCAGUUGAAACUCAGGAGAUGCUCCAAGAUAACUUGCUUGAAGAUACCUUCCGAGAUGCAGCGGCUCAGCUACCUGCAGGUGUCAGUAUGCCACAAACUGCGAAUGAUAAAGAACGAAGCUCCAAAUAGUUGUAGUUUUGACUUUCUAGGUGACCGUAUAGAGAUCUCACUUGGAGAUUCACUGCGACUGAAGAAACUAGAUGUGCUGUGUAACAACGUCCUCCGUUAUGCACGUGAAGAGUUCCCAUCCAGUGCGCCGAAUCUUGAAAACCUUAGCAUAUUUUCACGUCACGAGGUAGCCAAUACAGCAAUGGCGUUUGUGCCUAGCAAGUUCCUCCACCUGAAGUACUUGAGUAUUUCUAUUGCAGUAGCCUAUGAUUAUUUGUCUCUGGUUUAUUUUCUUGAUGCUGCUCCGUCCUUGGAGACAUUCAAACUGUGUGUACUGACAGGGCUAGGACCCACAGAUAAACUACUUUUGGAAGAUCGCUCACAGCUUCGGCAGAUGUCAGGAUAUUGCCAUCACAAGCUCCAGACUGUGAAGAUCUCUAGGUUCUGCUCUUCAAAGAGCAUGGUUGAGCUGACGUCCCAUAUUCUUGAAAACUCAGUAUCACUGCGGUGCCUUACAUUGGACACCACGAACUGUGGUUUCAGGUGUUCCGGCGACAGAUCUACCAGAUGCUCCUGCUUGGUUAGACCCUGGGAAGACGAUGAAGCAGUCUUGGUGAUCGAAAAAUACAUCAAGGGUAAAGUUCCCUCCACAGUCAAGCUCAUGUUGUGGAGCCAUGCAGCCAGUGUCAUGCCGUUCUACUAG